GAGCAGUGAUGUGAACUUUAAUAACCUGAAGUGUAUUUAAUCCAAUACAUUUUAUGAGGGUUUCUACACUUGAACUGAGCUCA
Cynoglossus semilaevis (tongue sole) is the source of this 83-nucleotide small nucleolar RNA. The record is from Ensembl. Lineage: Eukaryota; Metazoa; Chordata; Actinopteri; Pleuronectiformes; Cynoglossidae.